GGUGGCUCAGUGGUAGAGUGCUUGUCUUGCAUGCAUGAGGCCUGGGUUCAAUUCCUCAGCACCA
This is a non-coding RNA of Dipodomys ordii (Ord's kangaroo rat), 64 nucleotides long. The record is from Rfam. NCBI's taxonomy places the organism in Eukaryota, Metazoa, Chordata, Mammalia, Rodentia, Heteromyidae.